GUUUGGUUAACAACAUUCUUCAAAAUAUCUUUUGUGUUCUGUAGAAGACAGACAGUAAUACAGGUUUGGAACAACAGAAGGUUUAUGGAUCUUAUCGCCUGCAACAUUGGGGGUGUAUUUGGAGCCAUCGUGACAGUGACUGCAUCAGCUGUAGGGGCAGAAUCAUCACAUGACUAGCUGUCAGUUUUAUUGAAAUUAGUUUGUGGUCUGGAUCAUGUCAUCUGCAAUACAUUCCAGUUGGAGCAUUUUCUUGUGAUGGCCAUCGUAACGGUGAUAACAUCAACUGGUAAGUUAAAGGUUGUUGUUUUUUUUGAUCAUUAUCCAUUCCCUGGGAAUCAACCCCAUUAUUUCAGCAAUAUAACACUAAGCUCUCAAUGGCAAAUGCAGAAACAUUAAUUCGUGUGUUCAUGACCUCAAAGUUAGAUACUGUAAUGCUUUACUGGGUGGUUGCUCUGCACGCUUAAUAAACAAACUCCAGCUGGUCCAAAAUUCAGCAGCUAGAGUUCUUACUAGAACCAGAAAGUAUGACCAUAUUAGCCCCGGUUGUGUCAACACUGCACUGGCUCCCUAUUAAACAUCGUAUAGAUUUUAAAAUCUUGCUAGUUACUUAUAAAGCCCUGAAUGGUUUAGCAUUUUAGUACUUAGGUGAGCUCUUCUCAAAACUCAAAACAAGCAAUUUGAUAAUACCUAGAAUAUCAAAACCAACUGCGGGCGGCAGAUAAUUUUCUUAUUUAGCAUCCAAACUCUGGAACAAUCUACCUUCAGGAUGCAGACACACUCUGUCAGUUUAACCUGGCUUACACAUAACACAUUAACACAUUUCUAUAUUUCAAAUCUGUUAAAAAUUGCUAGGCUGCAUUAAUUAGAUCGGAACCGAAAACCCUUUCCAUAACACCUGAUGUACUUGUUGCAUCGUAAGAAGAAUGGCAUCUACGCUAAUAUUAGUCUGUUUCUUUCUUAUUCCGAGGUCACCUUAACCACCAGAUCCAGUCUGUAUCCAGAACAGAUGAUGGAUCAGCACCUAGAGAUGACCUCUACAGCCCUGAAUGUCAGCGGAGACCACUUCAACUAGAUGAGCCCCAGAGACAGAUCCACAGUGAAGGCCUCCUCACACAGACAGCCAUCGGCAUAAGACCACAGGAACCAGAUGAAUGCAAGAAUGCGUUAUAAGGAAUGGAGCUUAAAUGAUUUGUGAUGGAUCAACUAAUCAUGCACCUUCCUUGUUCAUUCCAAGAAUUAAUUCUGGUGGCACCAAAUACCAUUGAGAUUCACAGAUCAGAUGGAAUUCCUGAAAGAGGGUGCAAAGAAAAAGCAUCAGCCUAAAUCCCCUCAUCAGAGAGCUUGUCAACUUUGCCAAAAUUACUGAAAUUUAACACAACAACACAUACUAAUUUUUACUGUAUUUUAUUUCUGUAAAGCCUGUUUUGCUAUCAUCUGUAUUUUUAAAAAGAAAAUGUUCAACAAUUAAAAAGAAUAUUAUAAAGACAAAUGCUAAUGAGUUAUUGUGAUUUUUAUGGGGUUGGGGUUGUAAAAAAAAUAAAUAAAUAAAAAAAAUGGUAUAUAGUAUUGUACCACGAUUGGAUUGUUUUAUAAAAAAUGAAAAUAAACUGAACAGUCCUAAUUCUGAAAAUGCAGUAAUAAUACUUUAAAUUAAAAUACAGUAAAUACAUCAAGUAAAACUUACAGCAAUCUCUUAAGAGUGUAGUUUAGG
Molecule: long non-coding RNA, 1711 nt
Organism: Labeo rohita (rohu)
Lineage: Eukaryota; Metazoa; Chordata; Actinopteri; Cypriniformes; Cyprinidae
Exons: 5
Source: RefSeq, a predicted model, not a curated record